GCCCCCGUAGCUCAGGUGGAUAGAGCUCGGGAUUCCUAAUCCCGGUGUCGCGUGUUCGAGUCACGCCGGGGGCACCA
RNAcentral lists this transfer RNA (77 nucleotides) under Deltaproteobacteria bacterium. RNAcentral's name for it is "tRNA-Arg". It matches the Rfam family "tRNA". Rfam says of the family: Transfer RNA (tRNA) molecules are approximately 80 nucleotides in length. Their secondary structure includes four short double-helical elements and three loops (D, anti-codon, and T loops). Further hydrogen bonds mediate the characteristic L-shaped molecular structure. tRNAs have two regions of fundamental functional importance: the anti-codon, which is responsible for specific mRNA codon recognition, and the 3' end, to which the tRNAs corresponding amino acid is attached (by aminoacyl-tRNA synthetases). tRNAs cope with the degeneracy of the genetic code in two manners: having more than one tRNA (with a specific anti-codon) for a particular amino acid; and 'wobble' base-pairing, i.e. permitting non-standard base-pairing at the 3rd anti-codon position. The record is from RNAcentral. Lineage: Bacteria; Pseudomonadati; Myxococcota; Myxococcia. RNAcentral also lists the same sequence under 3 other names.